Molecule: ribosomal RNA, 492 nt
Filed under: uncultured bacterium
Lineage: Bacteria
Description: partial 16S ribosomal RNA
Rfam family: Bacterial small subunit ribosomal RNA
Source: RNAcentral
AGUGAACGCUGGCGGUAGGCCUAACACAUGCAAGUCGAACGGCAGCACAGUAAGAGCUUGCUCUUACGGGUGGCGAGUGGCGGACGGGUGAGGCAUACAUCGGAAUCUACUUUUUCGUGGGGGAUAACGUAGGGAAACUUACGCUAAUACCGCAUACGACCUACGGGUGAAAGCAGGGGAUCUUCGGACCUUGCGCGAUUGAAUGAGCCGAUGUCGGAUUAGCUAGUUGGCGGGGUAAAGGCCCACCAAGGCGACGAUCCGUAGCUGGUCUGAGAGGAUGAUCAGCCACACUGGAACUGAGACACGGUCCAGACUCCUACGGGAGGCAGCAGUGGGGAAUAUUGGACAAUGGGCGCAAGCCUGAUCCAGCCAUACCGCGUGAGUGAAGAAGGCCUUCGGGUUGUAAAGCCCUGUUGUUGGGAAAGAAAAGCAGCAGGUUAAUACGCCGCUGUUCUGACGGUACCCAAAGAAUAAGCACCGGCUAACUUCGUG